GUGUGUAUAGAAUAGAAUGUCUCCCAUACACUGUGUGUGUAUAGAAUAGAAUGUCUCCCAUACACUGUGUGUGUGUAUAGAAUGUCUCCCAUACACUGUGUGUGUGUAUAUAAUAGAAUGUCUCCCAUACACUGUGUGUGUGUAUAUAAGAAUGUCUCCCAUACACUGUGUGUGUGUAUAAUAUAAUGUCUCCCAUACACUGUGUGUGUGUGUGUAUAAUAUAAUGUCUCCCAUACACUGUGUGUGUGUGUGUAUAUAAUAGAAUGUCUCCCAUGCACUGUGUGUGUAUAUAAUAGAAUGUCUCCCAUACACUGUGUGUGUAUAUAAUAGAAUGUCUCCCAUACACGGUGUGUGUGUAUAUAAUAGAAUGUCUCCCAUACACUGUGUGUGUAUAUAAUAGAAUGUCUCCCAUACACUGUGUGUGUGUAUAUAAUAGAAUGUCUCCCAUACACUGUGUGUGUAUAGAAUAGAAUGUCUCCCAUACACUGUGUGUGUAUAGAAUAGAAUGUCUCCCAUACACUGUGUGUGUAUAGAAUAGAAUGUCUCCCAUACACUGUGUGUGUAUAGAAUAGAAUGUCUCCCAUACACUGUGUGUGUAUAGAAUAGAAUGUCUCCCAUACACUGUGUGUGUAUAGAAUAGAAUGUCUCCCAUACACUGUGUGUGUAUAGAAUAGAAUGUCUCCCAUACACUGUGUGUGUAUAGAAUAGAAUGUCUCCCAUACACUGUGUGUGUAUAGAAUAGAAUGUCUCCCAUACACUGUGUGUGUAUAGAAUAGAAUGUCUCCCAUACACUGUGUGUGUGUAGAAUAGAAUGUCUCCCAUACACUGUGUGUGUGUAGAAUAGAAUGUCUCCCUUACUACUGUGUGUGUGUAUAGAGAAUAAAUGUCUCCCAUACACUGUGUGUGUGUAUGAAAUAGAAUGGUCUCCCUUACACUGUGUGUGUGUAUAGAAUAGAAUGUCUCCCUUUUACUUUAUUGUGUAGUAGUAUAAAAUAGAAUGUCCUCCCAUACACUGUGUGGUAGUGUGCCAGAAUAAAGGGAAUAUCUCCCAUACCACUUUCUGUGUGUGUAUAGAAUAGAAUGUCUCCCAUACACUGUGUGUGUGUAUAGAAUGUCUCCCAUACACUGUGUGUGUGUAUAUAAUAGAAUGUCUCCCAUACACUGUGUGUGUGUAUAUAAGAAUGUCUCCCAUACACUGUGUGUGUGUAUAAUAUAAUGUCUCCCAUACACUGUGUGUGUGUGUGUAUAAUAUAAUGUCUCCCAUACACUGUGUGUGUGUGUGUAUAUAAUAGAAUGUCUCCCAUGCACUGUGUGUGUAUAUAAUAGAAUGUCUCCCAUACACUGUGUGUGUAUAUAAUAGAAUGUCUCCCAUACACGGAGUGUGUGUAUAUAAUAGAAUGUCUCCCAUACACUGUGUGUGUAUAGAAUAGAAUGUCUCCCAUACACUGUGUGUGUAUAGAAUAGAAUGUCUCCCAUACACGGAGUGUGUGUAUAUAAUAGAAUGUCUCCCAUACACUGUGUGUAUAUAAUAGAAUGUUUCCCAUACACUAUGUGUGUAUAUAAUAGAAUGUCUCCCAUACACUGUGUGUGUGUAUAUAUAAUAGAAUGUCUCCCAUACACUGUGUGUGUGUGUAUAUAAUAGAAUGUCUCCCAUACACUGUGUGUGUGUGUAUAUAAUAGAAUGUCUCCCAUACACUGUGUGUAUAAAAUAGAAUGUCUCCCAUACACUGUGUGUGU
Non-coding RNA from Pelobates cultripes (western spadefoot toad), 1737 nucleotides. NCBI's taxonomy places the organism in Eukaryota, Metazoa, Chordata, Amphibia, Anura, Pelobatidae. The record is from the annotation of a GenBank genome assembly.